RNAcentral lists this ribosomal RNA (264 nucleotides) under uncultured bacterium. RNAcentral's name for it is "partial 16S ribosomal RNA". It matches the Rfam family "Bacterial small subunit ribosomal RNA", at positions 29 to 289 of the family's 1533-position model. The record is from RNAcentral.
AUUAACGCUAGCGGCAGGCAUAAUACAUGCAAGUUGAACGGCAGCACAGGUAGCAAUACUGGGUGGCGAGUGGCGCACGGGUGCGUAACACGUAUGCAACCUACCCUAUACAGGCGAAUAACCUUUAGAAAUGAGGGCUAAUACGCCGUAGUAUUACAGAUGGGCAUCUAUUUGUAAUUAAAGAUUUAUCGGUAUAGGAUGGGCAUGCGUCCCAUUAGUUAGUUGGUAAGGUAACGGCUUACCCAAGACGAUGAUGGGUAGGGG